This 619-nucleotide ribosomal RNA is filed under the name Triticum aestivum (bread wheat). RNAcentral describes it as "partial small subunit ribosomal RNA". The record is from RNAcentral. Lineage: Eukaryota; Viridiplantae; Streptophyta; Magnoliopsida; Poales; Poaceae.
GCAGGACUCCCCGCCGGAUUCGCCGGCGCCGCCCGAGGAGGACCCUGCCACAGCGGUCCCCCACACAGCCGCCGAGGACUAUGACGGCAGCGCCGGCGCCGGUGGUUCGCGCGCCCCGCCGCCGCGGCCGCGGCCUUCGGCGCUAGCCGCGCCCUCGACCUCCGUAGCCCCGGCGGCGGCGAAGGCCAAGGUUCGGCCCCAUAAGGAGCAGGAUGACGACGACGACGAGGAAGACCCCAUGGAGGUCGACCUCGACAAGCUGCCCUCCGGCACCAGCGAUCCCGACAAGCUCGCCAAGAUGAAUGCUUUGUUAUCCCAAUUUACAGAAGACCAGAUGAACCGGUAUGAGUCCUUUCGUAGAUCUGGAUUCCAGAAAUCUAACAUGAAAAAGCUAUUGGCGAGUAUCACUGGCAGUCAAAAGAUAUCUAUGCCAACGACCAUCGUAGUAUCAGGAAUAGCAAAGAUGUUUGUCGGCGAGGUCAUUGAAACAGCAAGAAUAGUUAUGAGUGAAAGGAAAGAUUCUGGACCCAUCAGGCCUUGCCACAUCAGAGAAGCAUACAGAAGAUUGAAGCUUGAAGGGAAGAUCCCAAAGCGAUCCGUUCCUAGACUCUUUCGCUAG